RNAcentral lists this unclassified non-coding RNA (147 nucleotides) under soil metagenome. RNAcentral describes it as "partial internal transcribed spacer 1". The record is from RNAcentral.
CCGAGUUUACAACUCCCAAACCCCUGUGAACAUACCACUUGUUGCCUCGACGGAUCAGCCCGCUCCCGGUAAAACGGGACGGCCCGCCAGAGGACCCCUAAACUCUGUUUCUAUAUGUAACUUCUGAGUAAAACCAUAAAUAAAUCA